AAUCCGUCGACUUUAUAAAUCGUGAGGGUUCA
This 32-nucleotide transfer RNA is filed under the name Impatiens walleriana. RNAcentral's name for it is "partial tRNA-Leu". The record is from RNAcentral. Lineage: Eukaryota; Viridiplantae; Streptophyta; Magnoliopsida; Ericales; Balsaminaceae.